GGAUGUGUUUCUCUCUGUCUCUCCCCCUCCCCACUCUUUCUAAACAUCAAUAGAAAAAUAUCCUCGAGUGAGGAUUAUCCCCCAAAAUAAGAAAGAGUCACCAGCUUUUGGCAGCUAUGAAGCUGGGAGAUCCUGACCAGACCAAGGACAUCGGAUCUCAUUGUCCUCCCAGCCCUUCCAACCCUUCCCCAAAGAUCCUCAAUAAGAUGGUUUGACAACCCCCCUGCACCCCCCAAAAAAGAGUCACCAAUAAUAGUUUUUCUCUUCAGACAGCAACACAACCUCAAGUUAGAGGCCAUCAGAGAACUGAGAGGCUAAGAAAAUCUUGAAUUUGCUCAUUUUCUUUCCUUCCGUAAGUAUCUGCAGCAACUGGAACCAAGAUAGGAGUUUCUAGCAGAACGUUGCCUGAAUUGCAAAGCACCUUAAUCACAGAAUUGUACAUAAUCCUUGAUCCUGUGUGUUUUCAUUUUAUGUAAAUUUCCAUUUGCCUCAAAACAUGAUAGUGCUAAGUAAAAACAAAACCAUCUAUUGCUUUUCAUGUAACUGUUUUCACAAGAGUUAUUUUCCUAGGCAGUGAAAAAAGAUUACUGUGUUAAACAUUUUCUCCUCUGCGUCCAUCCCCCAUCCAGUCUGUUCAUUUUUCCUCUUUAUCCUCUUCUCCUUGACUUGGUGAAACCCACACCAUGUGCCUUUAGCUGCUCUGGAAAGUGCACAAAAUGAAGGAGGAGCCAUCAAAGGGCUCCUUGUCACAGCCCAUUGUGUUGUCUAUAGCAUCUCACUGCACUCUCACUGCCUCUCGGGGCUCCCUCUGUCCUGAGGUCUGGGGGUGGCCAGGCUGGAGCAGAUGGCAGUGAGACGACUGGUCUGCACCCCAACCUUCCUGGCACUAUGGCAGUGGAAAG
Long non-coding RNA from Myotis brandtii (Brandt's bat), 902 nucleotides. RefSeq lists it as uncharacterized. NCBI's taxonomy places the organism in Eukaryota, Metazoa, Chordata, Mammalia, Chiroptera, Vespertilionidae. The record is from RefSeq and is a predicted model, not a curated record. The transcript is spliced from 2 exons.